UAGACCACAGGGAGGCCUGGGAACUGCCUGAGCACCUGCACCACGGGAGAGGCUUGGGUGACACUUGGGCACCUGCACCCAACACAGGUAGCAGUGAUCACAGUGAAAACAUUUUGUUAGCAGUCGUCUGCUUCCUGUCCUGGCAUGAGCAGCAACGGGUAAAGGGCACUCUUGUCAGCUGAGGGGAUGAGUGGGGCUCUGCCCAGCUGGUUGGAGACUCCAGCAGGUUUGCAGGAGGAGACGGAAGAGCAAGGAGUGGAGGCAAAAACUGCUGCCAAGAUCCUGUGGGAAAACAGGAACCCAAAGAAGGAACUCCAAUGGGAAACUAAUUUAGACAACAAUGAUCUUAAAGUUUUUGCUCCUUCGAGACUGUUGAAAAGAACUCCCACGAGUGAACAAAAGACGCCUGGCCGAGGACACUCCAGAGUGCUGUCACGAGGGUUCCCUGCAGUUUUCAGAAACUUGGAGCAUGUGGCCACAGCGGCUUGCACGUGAUUCAUACGGCACAUCUUGUCACCAUGUAAAUGUUUAUCAGCAGAGACAAAGACCAGAAGAGCAACCUUGGAAAGAGCUAAAUAUUCCGAUGUUCCAGCAUUUUCCCCUCUGGUUUGUAUUGUGAAUUUUUAAAAUCUCGAUUGACAAGU
Molecule: long non-coding RNA, 644 nt
Filed under: Homo sapiens (human)
Lineage: Eukaryota; Metazoa; Chordata; Mammalia; Primates; Hominidae
Description: hepatocellular carcinoma ferroptosis associative lncRNA (HEPFAL)
Source: RNAcentral